Panicum hallii is the source of this 2008-nucleotide RNA transcript. It is a transcript of the gene named iron-sulfur cluster co-chaperone protein HscB, mitochondrial, with no coding region annotated. Lineage: Eukaryota; Viridiplantae; Streptophyta; Magnoliopsida; Poales; Poaceae. The transcript has 8 exons. The record is from RefSeq and is a predicted model, not a curated record.
CCUCAACGCCGCCGCCGCUCUCCUUCUCGAGUCUCGACUCCUCCAAGCCCGCAGCCACCCGUCGCGGCGACGCACGCCGCCCGCCGGCGCACGCCCGUUCUCCAACUCCAGCCGCCGCAGCCCCCCAAAAUACCAUAUCGCGUCAGCACCCGAGCGAGCGCCGACGACCUCCGGCCGGCGUCGGGUCCACCUCACUAGCGGAGACCGCGGUCCGAGCACCACCACCACCUCCGGGCCCAGCCGCAGCCGCCCAGAGGCAGAACCCACGCCGCGAGAAGACCAUGUGGCGCCGCGGAGCCGGACUGCUCCGUCGCCACCUCGCCGCCGCCUGUUCCCGUCGCGUGCGGCGACCCCCGGCGCCCCUUGUACCCGCCGCCCCAUCUUCCUCUACCCCCUCUUCCUCCUGCCGCCAGAUUCUUGGAAUCUUCCGGGGUUCCAUCGGGGCGCCCUCUCGGUGCCUGUCGAACCAGGCGGGCGGCAGCGGUGCCUGCUGGAGCUGCGGCGCGACGGGGGCGUUCCUAUCGUGCGGGUCCUGCGGGAGCGUGCAGCCCGUCGACCCCUCCGUCGACUACUUCCAAAUCUUUGGCCUAAAAAGAGAAUACAACAUAAAGGAUAAUAACUUGGAAGGGAGGUACAAGGAGUGGCAGAAGAAGUUACAUCCCGACCUGGUUCACUCGAAGUCUGAGAAAGAGAGAGGCUAUGCUGCAGAGCAAUCAGCGCUUGUUAUUGAUGCGUAUCGCACACUUAGCAAACCUUUAUCAAGGGCAUUAUACUUGUUAAAACUUGAGGGAAUACAUGUUGAUGAAGAAAAAACUAUCAAUGACCCAGAACUUCUUAUGGAGAUGAUGGAGAUACGUGAAGCUGUGAAUGAUGCCAGUGAUUCUCAAACGCUGGAGAAGAUCCAAUCUCAGGUUAAGAAAAAGCUCGAAAUCUGGUCUCAUUCCUUCCAGGAUGCAUUUGACAAGAAGGAUUUUGACCGUGCCAUAGAAGCAACACAGAGGAUGAGGUACUAUGAACGUGCAGUGGAAGAAACAGUGAAGAAGCUCUGAUCUUGAAUUACAAUUGUCAAAGAUGGGGAGGCAUGGAAAUUUUUCGUACAUUCCUCGCACCUCCACUCUGAGAAGAGCAUAUAUUGUGAUACUGUCUUCAUGGGAAGAUUGAUACAGAGCUAAAGGAAAAUGCUAAGUGCUGGACAACAAGCUGUCAACAUAGCAGAACUACAAAAAGGACAGAAUUCCAUAUACUGUGCUUUGUCCAAACUAAUCCUUCACCUGACGGUGCGCACUUCAAGGAUCCGUAGGACCAAGGCUUUGAAGACACCCCUGAGCAGCAGAAGUGCUUUGAGGAAGACAAGCAGUCAUUGAUCAUAUUCCGGUCCAAUUAAUUUUCAAUAUAAACAUAUUUACUUUAUAUGCAUGCAUGAGUCUAUAAUUUAAUGGAUCCCAAACUAAGGACAUGUCUAGUUUCAAUUGUACUUUCUUGUUUAAACCUGGGUUGUUUACUUUACGUUGUAGCUAUGCUAGUUGCUCAUCUACUUAGACUUUGGUUGGUUAACUUGGAAACAAUGGUACACUUGUUUUACUUCAUGUUCCGGAAUAUUUAAUGGUGAUAAUUAUAAGUUCACUAUUUUAAUUCGAACACGGAGAACCACCUAGGGCAACCACAAUACUACAUGGCUCUGAUCUUGGCUAAUUAAUUAGAAACUUUAGCUUAUGAUAAUCUUACCGAAAGGACAAGAGGGGUUGCAUCGUCGGGGUAUAGCUCGGUCCUCUUGAGGUUAUGAUAUGGUUCUGGUUAAGACGUCUUUCUCGUUAAGGAAAGUUAUGACCACUUUGACUUGAAACCUUAGCAGAUUAUCAUAAGUUAGGAAAUCUUAUAAAGACCUCAUAGUGAAUCUCUGCCACUCACCUCGGAAGUGUUUAAGAGCCUUGCAAACCCAGGCAUCAAGGGAAACACAAGUUGUGGGUAAAGUGUACAACCUCUGCAGAGUGAAAAUUGAUAUAUCAGC